Molecule: long non-coding RNA, 14942 nt
Filed under: Ananas comosus (pineapple)
Lineage: Eukaryota; Viridiplantae; Streptophyta; Magnoliopsida; Poales; Bromeliaceae
Description: long non-coding RNA (ACOM_LNC041370)
Source: RNAcentral
GGUGGUGCUAAUGCAAUAGGAAAGGUAAAAUAACUAUCAAACCGCUAGGGCGCUAAGCCCUUGCCGCGAUCCUCUCGCUCAGUCGGGGCGCUCGAGCUAGUACCUGUAACGAGGGUGUGAGAACUACGAAUAGUUCCCAAUGGGUUCGGCCGCCGACUCCGCCGAUCUACCCACUAGGUCUUAAGCAGGCAUAGAGAGAUAUAUAUGCAAUAUAUAUAAAACUAAGCUAAACUGAAAGCAGGUAUUUGAAACAGGUAUAUCAAGCUAUGCCUCAAUCUGACAUCAUGGAUGCAUGAACAAUAAAUAAAGCUGGGUAAGUGCGCAACUAUGAACAUCUACAGCUAUCAUAGUAAGCUCUAAAACAUGCUACUAGGAAAGCAAAUAAGCUGAUAUGAAUAAUGAAUGGCUACUAUGAACAUCAAUCAUGGGUAAGACUCACUGGGUAAUCCAAUCUCCAAGUGAACACAAGGUUCAUAAGCAAGACUCACAUGUUAACCUCCGAGGGAUGCCUAGCUGGACUAUCCCCGAGUACGCCUGCGGAUAACAAGCGGCUAUCCGAGCAGCAAGCAGGCUGCCUCUCUAGUGACCAACUCCGGAGCGCACAACUUGAGGGGAGCGACCCCACCAAGCGCAGACAGGCAAUGUGAGCAUGAUCAACUCACUAGCAACAACAACCCUUUGUGGGUAAUAUUAGCAUAGAUCAAUAAGUUCUUGUACCCAAUCUCAUAGUGUCUCAACCACACUAAUAAGAUCAUCUCAAGUAAAUAUCAAGCAUGUGCCACUCAGUCAUAGUUUUCUAACUAGAUACUACUCGUCAUUUAGACUCAUCAACAAUGUUAGUUCUUUUACAUUAUAAGCUCUAAUCAUCUCAUAUAGGGUUGACUCUCAUCAUUAAACUCUAUCAUUUAAUCUCAUGCAUACUAGUUUAUAAAUCAUUCAAUCGACUAUAUCUAUAACUACUAGCAUGCAAUUUGAAGCAAUAUAAUAAAUCUUUAACCCUAUAAGAACAUGCACAAUAUGCAACUUGGUCAUAUUUAAACUUAGACAUAAUGGGUAGCACGAUGACUUUGGGAUGGCACUCCCCAACCUUAGGUGAUGCCGAAAACACUUCGAGACGCGCUCUCGUGCUAAUCUUGUCGCCGCUUAAUUUUUGUUGGGUUAGCUUUAACCCUAUAGCACUUCAAAUGGUGAUAUCUUCGCGCUCGAUUUUCGUAUCGACGAACCGUCUUCGCCUACGCGUUUAUAAGCAUAAGAAUUAGGUUUCCGACCCAUCAAAAUAGAUCAAAACCCUUUAAUCCCAAAAACCCCAAAAUCCAACCCUAGGUUUUGCACCCAAGGGAAUCCAUGGUUUCUAGCUUCAAUGUGAGCUAAAUUCAUGUCCUCUAAACUCAUUAGAUUCCAUUUGAACCAAUAAAUCAAACAAAAACUCACAAAACCCUAGAAUCUCACAAUUAGGGUUGAGGCUUACUCUAGGGUUUGCUCCAAAGCAAGCCCUAGCUUGAGGAAGAGGAGGGAGAGAAGCUUCUUCUUCUCCUCCUUGAUCUUCUCCUUCUUCUUCUCUUUCUUUCUCUCCUUUUCUUCUUCUUCUUUUCUUUCUUUCCCUUUUUCGGUUUAGAGAGAGAGAGCUAAGUGAGAGGGAGAGAGAACGGCUAAGAGGGAGUGAGAGAGUGGCUGAGAGAGAGGGGAUAUAACCCUCUAUUGUAACAAAAUUCCAAAAGCCCCCUCAAAAAUCUAUUUUUCCAACUUGACCUGCAGUUUCGGGUCCCUUGUACCGGUACACGGUUUCUUGUACCGGUACAAGGCCUGGCAGACAGCUCAACCCGAGGCUCGGUUUCUCGGUUGCGCAGGGCUUGUACCGGUACAAGACCCCUUUGUACCGGCACAAGGUCUGGCAGCCUCCAACCCGAGAGCCUGCGAUGGUUGUACCGGUACAACCAUCACUCUUGUACCGGUACAACAGCUCCAGAAUGCUGUUUUCACAUCUCUUCGGCUCUAUUUCGCGCCGUUUGAUGUCAAAACCAAUCCAACACCUUUGGAACUCAUUUUAGCUCUUCCAAACCCUUCAAUUGCCCACUUUGGUCCAUUUGGCCAAAGUUAGCCAAAUUCCAUCGAGAUUCAAUAUCUCACAUCUAUCUAGCAUGAAUAUGUAUGAUUUUUUAUUUUACAAUAAAGGCAAUGACAUAGGAGUUCACACAUUUCGGUGAGGUCAAACCCACCAGAUACCCGUCGAAUCCCCUUCGUUUGCGCGAACGAGUAUGCCCACUAGUCGCCUAGCUCCUAACAAAAAUUCUAAGACAGUUAGGGGUUCCGAACGAAUACCCCACAAGAUCCACAAAAUUCAACCCAUAAAUAGGUAGAAAAUUACCUUAAAUUGUGAAGAAUCCAAACUUCAAAUGAGAGCUAGAACACUUCUAAUCCAACUUAUAGGAAGGCAUUAGAACAAACAAUUUAGCCCCUAAGGCCCUAGCAAGAAAAUCUCCAAAAUAAAACCCUAGUUUCCAAAACUAGGUUUCCAUCUCAAAAAGACCCCUAAAAAAGAUGUAGUCUGCAACUGCACUGCGUACCGGUACGCGGGCUGGAGUACCGGUACCCAACAGCUGAGCUCGCAAACCCGAGCCUCUGUCAAUUGGACAGACUGCAGUGUACCGGUACUUGUGCGAUGCAGUACCUAUUCCAGGCUCCAGUAUCGGUACUCGGGCGAUGCAGUACCGGUACUCUGCCUCGCAAAGCUCAAACCAAAGAGUACCCCUCUCGGUUACGCGAUGUGGUUCUGGUACCCCUUCUCUGGUACUGGUAUCCAGCACCCUAAAACCUACACUUUGGAGGUUUUGGUGCUAAGUACCCACUCUUGCUUCUCAAGACGCGAGUAAACAGGUCGGAACAUAGUCAACGACCCUCACAUACUGUCACGCCCCAACCGCACACCCGAAACUAUUUGGUCCGGUUCGAAAGCGGCGGGCGUGAGGCCGAACGGACAGAGUCUCCCCUGUGCGCCUAAGGCUAACCAACGAGAUUGUGCACAACAAGUCCCCAGGAAAAACAACUUGAUUUCAUACACAAUCGAAAGAACGAUAACACAAACAGUACUGUUAAAACCAUCAAGAGCAAACGAUACUAGUAAAAGCAUAUAAGUAUACAAAAGAGAGAAACUUAACUAUUUGAACCAUGAAACUAGAAGUAUUUAAAUACAACUUGCAUUAAACUUCAUUUAAACCUUCAUACAUGUUUUUCCAUAUUUUCCAUAAUGAAAAUACAUCCAAAAACUCUCCAAAACCUCACCCUAUACAACACCUACUCUCAAAAUAUAAAGACAGGGUGGAGCUAAUGCAAGUAGGAAGUAAGCUACCAACUGAUACCGCUAGGGCGCCAAGCCAUCGCCGCGAUCCUCCCGCUCGGUCGGGACACUCGAACUAGUGCUUGCAACAACGGGUGUGAGAAUUACGAAUAGUUCCCAGUGGGUUCGGCCGCCGACUCCACCGAUCUACCCACUAGGUCGAAGCAGGCAUAGAGAGAUAUAUGCAAUAUAUAUAUAAAGCUAAACCAACUAAAAGCAGGUAUGAAAAUUAAGCAAGUAAGGAAAUGUAAGCAAGUAGGUAGAAUCAUGAAUAUCUAGUUAUGCCUCAAUCUGAUAUCAUGCAUGCAUGAACAACAGAUAAAGCUGGGUAGUAAGCUACUAUGAACAACAACAACAAGUAAGCUAAAAUGAACAACCAUAGAGAAGCUACUACAACAACAAAUAAUGAGUGUGACUCAAUAGGUUACCCAAUUUCAUGGUGAACUCGAGGUUCACAAGCAUAACUCAUGUGUAAGUCUCAUAGGGAAAGUCUCACUGAACUACUCCCGAGACCGCCUGCGGACAGUACACAGACCGUCCAGACAGCACACUGACUGUCCCUCUAGUGACCAACCUCCGGAGUGCACAGCUUGCGGGGAGCGACCCCUCCAAGCGCAGACAGGCUAUGUGAGCACGAUCAACUCACGACCAACAGCAUUCUACCCUCUAAGGGUAAUCUCAUCUUAGAAUCAUGGUGUUCUAAUACUCAAUCUCAUAGUGUUUCAGCUACACUAGGGUUCUCAUGUCAUAAGCGAUCAACAAUCAUAUGCCACUUGUCAUAGUUUUCUAUGUUAGAUGCCACUUGCCAUUUUGACUCGUUAUCAACACUAGUUACAUUAUACUAGUUCUUUAACAACAUAAGCAUUAAUCAUCUCAUAUAGGGUCUAGGUUUUCAUCAUAUAGUUUUCAUGCAUACAAUUAGGUUUCCGACCCAUCAAAAUAGAUUAAAACCCUAUAUGCCCAAAAAUCCCAAAAUCCAACCCUAGGUUUAGCACCCACGGAAAAUAAUAGUUUCUAGCUUUAUUGUGAGCUAGAUCCAUACCCUCUAAACUCAUUAGGUUCCAUUUGAACCAUUAAAAACAACAAAAAGCUCCCAAACCCAAGAAAUCACAAGUUAGGGUUGAGGCUUACCUCUAGGGUUUGCUCCAAAGCAAGCCCUAGCUUGAGGAAGAGGAGGGAGAGAAGCUUCUUCUUCUUUUUCUUGAUCUUCUCCUUCCUUUCCUUCUUCUUCUCUUUCUUUCUCUCCUUCUUUUCUUCUUCUUCUUCCAUUUUUCGGUUUAGAGAGAGAGAGAGAGCUAAGUGAGAGGGAGGGAGAGAAGCUAAGAGUGAGAGAGAGGCUGAGAGAGAGAGGUAUACAAAGUCUCUAAUGUAACAAAAUCCCAAAAAGCCGCUCUAUUUUCUAAUUUCCAAAGCAGACCCACUGUUUAGGGUCCAUUGUACCGGUACACGGUUUCUUGUACCGGUAUAAGGCCUGGGUGACAGCCAAACCCGAGCGCUCGGUUUCUCGGUUUCAUAGGGCUUGUACCGGUACAAGGCCCCCUUGUACCGGUACAAGGUCUUGCAGCUCCAACCCGAGAGCUGCGAUGGUUGUACUGGUACAACCAUCACUCUUGUACCUGUACAACAGCUCCAGAAUGCUGUUUUUCUCUUCUCUUCGGCUCUACUUCGCGCCGGUCGAUGUCAAAACCAUUCCAACACCUUUGGAACUCAUUUUUGCUCUUCCAAACUUGUUGGAACCUCGAAUAGAACUUGUCCAAACCGUUCAAUUCCCCACUUUGGUCCAUUUGGCCAAAAUUAGCCAAAUUCCAUCGAGUUUCAAUAUCUCACAUUCUCCACCCCUUAAAAGGAGUUUCGUCCUCGAAACAACUCAACUCAUAAUUCGAACAAAACUCUUACCUCAAUCCUCGAACAAGUGAGGAUGAUUCGCUUUCAUCUCGUCCUCGAGUUCCCAAGUGGCUUCGCGAUCGUCGUGAUUGCUCCACCGAACUUUAACAUAGGGGAUUUCUCGAUUCCUUAGCUUGCGCACCUCCCGAGCUAAAAUCUCCACUGGAAACUCUUCAUAGCUCAUAUCAUCCUGAAGCUCCGGCGGCUCAUAAACUAGAACAUGCUCGGGAUCAUGCAUGUACUUGCAAAGAUUGGAGACGUGGAAGACAUUGUGCACUCCCGCAAGUUUCGGGGGCAAGGCAAGUCGGUACGCCACCAUCCCAAUUCGCUCCAAGAUCUCGUAGGGGCCAAUAUAACGAGGACUUAGCUUUCCUCGCUCCCCAAACCUUUUCACGCCUCGCAUCAGCGAAACCUUCAAAAACACGCGGUCACCCACCGCGAACUCCAAAUCUCUACGACGUUUAUCUGAAUAGCUUUUCUGUCGCGACUGCGCCGUGAGCAACCUUUUGCGAGCAAGUUGGACUUUCUCCUCCGCCUCCCGCAAAACAUCCGGACCAAACUCAACUCGCUCGCCUACAUCACUCCAAUAAAUGGGAGAUCGACACUUCCGCCCGUAGAGAGCCUCGAACGGUGCCAUUCCCACGCUAGCAUGAUAACUGUUGUCAUAGGCGAACUUGUCACGCCCCCGCCCCGGGGCCGCUACCGAUUUGGCACGGUUCGGGCGCGGCAAGCGGACCGCCAAACGGACAGAGUCUCCCCUGUCCGCCCAAGGCUCAAAUGACGAGAUUGUGUACAACAAGUUCCCAGGAAAACACUUGAAUACAUAUACAAUUAUACAACAACUAAAGCACGAACAGUGCUGAACAUUACAAGAGCAAGCGUCACAAGUAGUAGACAUACAAGUGAAACAAAAGAGAGAUACUUAACUAUUCUAUUACAACCAUUCUACUUGAUACAUUUAAUUACAACUUGCAUUCUUUUCCAAAAUAUGAAUAUAAGCGUACAUUCUUCAAAAGAUAACAUUAGUUUACAUUUAUCUCAAAAUACCUCACAUCCUAUACAUCAUCUACUCUCAAUACAUGUAUAGGGUAACUCUAAUGCAAAAUAGGAAAGUAAACUACCAACUAGCAUUAGGGCGCUAAGCCUAUAACGCGAUCUUCUGCCGAUCCGCUCUCGUGUGUACCUGUACCCCAAAACCACACGGGGUGAAAACUAUAUAAAUAUAGUUCCCAGUAGGUUCGGCCGCCGACUUCGCCGAUCUUCCCACUAGGUCCAAGCUGGCACAGAUAGAUAGAUAGAAAGAUAUAUGGAAAUACUACUACUAUAUCUAUUAUGCCAUCAAAUGCAAAGUAUGCAUGGAACAUCAUCUAGCAACAACCUACCAUCAUGCUAGUAUGCCUCUACAGUGAAAUAAAUACAACAACAACAUAGUUAUGCAGUGUACUAUGUCUAAUCAUGGUAUGAAUGCAAUACUCUUAAGCUAUUCAUGUUAUUACCCAAUCUGCUAGGCUACUUUGCCUAAGAUCUCAAAUCUAGUAGGUGAAAAGCUACCUCAUUCUUGUCUCAUUCGAUUCAUGUCUUAAGGGUCCUGAGCAAAGAGCUACCCCGCUCCUCGCCCGACUUAGAUCUCGAAGGUCCGACCCAAUCUCGAAGGUCCUAGGCAAAGAGCUACCCCACUCCUUGCCCGACUCACAUCUCAAAGUCCUAGGCAAAGGCUACCCCGCACUUUGCCCGACUCACAUCUCGACCUACUAGGUACAGGGCUACUCCACUCAAAUCUCAUAGGUGAAGGAAUAGUAUAUCAUGAAUGCAUGAGCAAUAAGUAAGCUACUAUGAACACUAGUAAGCUACUAUGAACAACACAACAACUAUGGAAGCGAGCUAUCAUGAACAACGAUAAUGAGUAUGACUCAAUAGGUAACCAAAUCUCAUGGUGAACUCGGGGUUCACGAACAUAUCUCACGUGUAAGUCUCAUAGGGAAAAGUUUCACUUAACUAUUCCCCGAGACCACCUGCGGACAGCACACUGACCGUCCAGACAACACACUGACUGUCUCUCGAGUGACCAACCUCCGGAGUGCACAGCUUGUGGGGAGCGACCCCUCCAAGCGCAGACAGGCUAUGUGAGCACGAUCAACUCACGAAUAUCAGCAACCUACCCUCUAAGGGUAAUCUCAUCAUGGAAUCAAGGUGUUCUUGUACCCAAUCUCAUAGUAUCACAACUAUACUAAUGUUCUCAUGUCAAGGUCAUCAACAAUCAUAUGCCUCACAUCAUAAUUUUCUAUAACUAGAUGCUACUUGUCAUAGUUUUCUAAACUAGAUGCCACUCGUCAUUUAGACUCAUUUUUAACACUAGUUUCGUCAUACUAGUUCUUUAAUCACAUAAACAUUAAUCAUCACAUAUAGGGUCUAGGUUCUCAUGCAUACUAGAUCAUGGAUCAAUCAUUGAGAUGUAUAGCUACUAGCAUGCAUAUAUAAGCAAUAACCACAAUCAUCUAGCACCUAUAUGCAAUAAAUACAAUAUGCAACUUGAUCGAUUAAUGUACUCAACUACAGUGUAAUCCACAUUAAUCAUGCCCUUAUAGGGUUUCACCACACUAAGUCCCAAUCUCAUGCAUACUAGGUACAAGUAUUAAUCAAGUAACACUACACUCCCACUAGCAUGCCAUGACAUGUAAUAAUUGCCAACUAGUACCCUAUAAUGCAAUAUCCCAAUAUGCAACUUGAUCAAUGUUAACUAGAGUUUCUAGUACAACAACCAAUCCAUUACUAGUUCAAGUCAUAUGUGUUUUUAGCACAAUGAGUUCAAUGCCACUUGCAAACUAUGUUUUAAAUACAACACUAGGUGUUCAUUCAACUAGAGUCUAUCCACAUUAAUCUUGUCAUUAUAGGGUUUCACAACACUAUGUCCCAAUCACAUGCAUACUAGGUACAAGUAUUUAAGCAAUUCAACUUUACAUUACUCUACUAGCAUGCAAGAAUAUAUAUCUAUGUAUAUACAUUUAUCAUCUAGCACCUUAUAAUGCAAAACUUGAUAUGCAUAAUUGAUCAACAUAGAGAUACUUAGACAUAGGGAGAAGCCCGAUUGCUUCGGGAUGACACCCCCCACCUUUUACAGCGUUCCGAUUGCUCGUCGUCACUCGCAAUCGGCCUCCUGCGGCGCACGCCGCUCGACUUGACCCAAUCCACGGGCGACCACCAAAACGACCUCCGAUUCGCGAUCUAGUAAUUAAAGGUCUUCGGUUAUGUGCCACGGUGCUUCAAAUCCGUUUUCACGAUUUUACGACGUCGCCUCGGCCCUCCAGGCGGAAACAAAGCCUAAACGUCCGUUUCUUUAAUAACUUUGCACCGGCUCGUCUGAUUGCCGAACCGUCUUCGCCAACGCGUUUCGUUACCCCAAUGUGAACGCCGCAACGGAAACACGCUGCUCCAACGGGCGCAUAAAAGCUCAAUCCGUCGCCUCCAACACGUUCGCAAGCUCGAUCUCCACCAACCCUCCAAUUUUUAAAGAGAGAUAUAGAGAGAUGAGAGAGAUAUUUAGAGAGAGAAAGGAGGGUUUCUCUCCCCCUUUCAUGCGUGCGUGUGUGUGGCCAUGGUGGCGGUCGUCGGUUGAAGGAGAAGAAGCUGAUGCUUCUAAUUAAAGUCAACACCAACACUAUUCACUCCAGGCAGCUUGAAAUCUGAUAUCUUUCGCCGGAGCUCCCUGAAUGUCCGUUUGAGCUCAAAUUUGACAGGCACGCUCGGUUUUACUUAAUAAGUCCAAAAAAAUUUUAAUAUUUCAGUUUCGACCCCGUUUGGUCACCGAAAAUUGUACCGAACUGUAAUCUUUAUCAGAUAGCUGUCGAAUUUUAUUUCUCACUCUACGGGUGUCAGAAAAAUAUGAAACUUUAAAUCUAGCCUCAUAAAAAUAAUUCUGACAUACCCUCCAGUUUUCAUAAUUUUCUGACACUGUAUAUUUUCUGCUAAUUUAUCUGCCCCGUUUCUCACAGAAAAUCCUAAAUCUUCUGUUUUCACUCCGAUUUCGGCACAGGUCAUUUCCAACUUAUAUUUCACUUCUCUAAAUCCAAUAAAAAUAGUAUUUCAUACUAUUUUUAUUUAUUUUCACUUUUAUAUUUAAAAUCCGGUAUGUUACGUUCCACCGCAACCUCACCGGAACUAUUUAAAUAUACACCGUAACUUCAUAUUUUUUAGAAGUCCGGUACCUUACAGAACUCGGCCAUCGGCAGGUGCUUACACCAACCACCCUUGUAAUCAAUAACACACGCUCGCAGUAUAUCCUCCAGAGUCUGAAUAGUCCUCUCAGUCUGCCCAUCUGUCUGGGGAUGGAAUGCAGUGCUAAACUCGAGACGCGUGCCAAGGGCAUCCUGAAGGCUCCUCCAGAAAUGUGAGGUGAACUUGGGGUCUCGAUCUGAUACAAUCGACUUCGGCACCCCGUGAAGUCGCACUAUCUCAUCAAGAUAAACCUGAGCCAAUCUCUCGCCUGCCCAAGUGUUAUGGAUCGGUAUAAAAUGUGCCGACUUCGUCAAGCGAUCCACAAUCACCCAAAUCGCAUCGUGGCCACCUGUCGAUCGAGGCAAGCCCACGACAAAAUCCAUCGAGACGUCUUCCCACUUCCAGACGGGAAUAGGUAAACUUUAAAGCUUCCCCGCUGAAAAUCGACGCUCCGCUUUAACCUGCUGGCAUACUAAGCACUUCGCCACAAAGCGCCCAAUAUCCGCCUUUAGUCCGGGCCACCAAUAGAGCAAUUUCAACUCGUGGAACAUCUUGGUGCCGCCUAGGUGAUCAGUAUAAGGAGACCAAUGCGACUCCUGUAAUACAAGCUUGCGAAGCUCCUCGUCCGCAGGUACACACCACCGGUUCUUGAACCGAAGUGCACCAUCAGUAUCCAUAGAGAAAUCUCCGCUGCGGCCAUCAACUAUGUUCUGCCGCACCUUUUGGAGAAACGGGUCCGCCAGCUGCAGACUUUUAAUCUUGUCCAAUAGGGUCGGCUGGACUACGAGCGUCAACAACAUCGCCGGAACCUCAGGAGCUACAACCUCAAGAUUCAUCCUCCCCAUUUGCAACCAUAGGGGCGUCUGAUCGGUAGCCCAUAAAGCUAGGUUUUCAACAGACUUCCGGCUAAGCGCAUCGGCGACUACAUUCGUCUUCCCAGGGUGGUAGAGAAUAUCAACAUCGUAAUCUUUAAGCAACUCCAACCACCGCCGCUGUCGCAAAUUCAGCUCCUUCUGGGUGAACAAAUAUUUUAAGCUUUUGUGGUCGGUGUAGAUCGCGCAAUGAGCACUAUAAAGAUAAUGCCUCCAAAGCUUCAAGGCAAAGAUCACCGCCGCCAACUCUAAAUCGUGAAUGGGGUAAUUUUUUUCAUAGCUUUUUAGCUGACGGGAUGCAUAGGCAAUAACCUUUCCGCCCUGCUGACAUCAGCACACACCCCAAGCCCAGAUAAGAAGCAUCACUAUAGACGACAUAGUCCUGCCCCUGCACCAGUAAGGCGAGCACCGGAGUCGAAGUUAACCUUUGCUUCAACUCUUUAAAACUCCGGUCGCACUCGUCGCUCCAAACGAACUUGGUGCCUUUCUGCGUUAGACGGGUAAGUGGAGUCACAAUCUUAGAGAACCCCUCCACAAACCGUCGAUAAUAACCUGCUAGGCUCACAAAGCUACGGACCUCAGUUACACUCGUCGGGCGCGGCCAAUUCUCAAUAGCCUCAACCUUCCUCGGGUCGACCGAAACGUCGCCCUCGGAAAUAACAUGCCCGAGAAAUGCAACCCUCCUGAGCCAGAAGUCGCACUUCUUCAGCUUUGCGUACAACUUCUUCUCCCGAAGAAUCUGAAGUACCGUGCGCAAAUGCUCCUCGUGCUCCUCGUCGCUAGCGAAUAAACCAAAAUGUCGUCUAUGAAGAUUACGACAAAUCGGUCCAAGCACUCUUGGAACACUCGGUUCAUCAAGCUCAUGAACGCUGCCGGGACAUUUGUGAGCCCAAACGGCAUCACCGUGAACUCGUAGUGUCCAUAACGCGUGCGAAACGCCGUCUUCUGAACAUAUUCCGGCUUGAUCUUUAACUGGUGAUAGCCGGACUGAGGGUCAAUCUUAAAAUACACUCGCGACCCCUGCAACUGAUCAAACAGGUCGUCGAUACGGGGUAGCGGGUACCUGUUCUUCACCGUGACCUUGUUCAACUCGCGGUAAUCUACGCAGAGUUGAAAAGAUCCGUCCUUCUUUUGCAUGAAUAAUAUCAGGGCACCCCACGGCGAAACGCUCGGCCUAAUGAAUUCCUUGUCGAGAAGAUCCUAUAAUUGAUCUCUCAACUCCUUCAGCUCGGCCGGCGCCAUGCGAUACGGGGCCUUAAAAAUCGGUGCUGUCCCGAAAACCAAGUCAAUCAUGAACUCGAUCUCCCGGUCCGGCGGCAUACCCGGUAGCUCCGCGGGAAACACGUCGGGGAACUCCCGUACAACCGCCAACUCUUCGAGGGUCGGAACCACUCGAUCAAUCUCCACAAUGGUCGCCAAAAAGGCUGCACAACCGCUGUUCAUCAACUUCCUCGCUCUAGUCGCCGAUACCUUCGCGGCGAAACACGAACUCUUGCAAGCUCGGUAGGUGAACUCAUCAUGACCCGGCUCCCGAAAUGUGAUAACUCGAGUCGAGCAAUCGAUCGACACAUAGUACUUCGAGAGCCAAUCCAUGCCCAAAAUAACGUCGAACUUCUUCAACCUUUCGAGCACCAACAAGUUGAUCGGCAUAACCCAGUCAUUCACUUGCACUGGACAUGCCAAACAUCGCUCCCUAACCACAAAGGAUCGCCCGGGGCUCUCAACAUGCCAAAUGUGCUCCCCCAGACGAUACUCGAUAUCGUGUGCUUGUGCGAAUGAUCGACUAAUAAAUGAGUGUGAUGCGCCAGUAUCAAACAAAGCUCUAGCUCGAACACCUUUAACCAAAAUUAUACCUGCCACAACAUUGCGCUCGCCGGCCUCUAAAGGCUCCUCAACAUGCACGGGUGCGGCAUACAUCUCCCGCUCGGCACAGAUCGUGCAGGCUGAGGUUGGCGUGGCGUCGCCGCUCGCCCAGUAGAUGCUGCAGGAGGGGGCAAGGCAUAGCGAGCUGGAACCGCCUGGGCCGAAGCAGUCGACAUAGCGGGCGAAGCUCCUCCCUGAGGACAGUCGCGGAUGACAUGUCCCGCUUGCCCGCACUUGAAGCACCUCCCUCGGCGCUGCUCACAAACACCCGGCCGGUGGUCUCCACCGCAGAAGAUGCAUCGCUGAGCACCACGACCCUUGGGCUGAGAGCGUGGAUACUUCGGGGGCCUCUUGGAGCUAGACUGACCGCCCGAACCACCGCCCUGUCUCUUCUUGCCUUUAACCUUAUCGAGCGCCUCAUGGUCCUCAUGCUCGCAAGCGUUCCCGUGCUCGACCCAUAGCGCGCGGUCUAAUGCCUCCGCCAGAGAGUGGGACUUGAAGGCAUGCACCAAUCUGAAUACUCCGGGCCGUAGACCUCAAACAAAACAAUCCACCUCGUCCUGCUCUGUCGUCGCCACGCCCGGAACGCAGCUCAGGAGAUGGGUGAACUCCCGCUCGUACUCCCGAACCGUGCGGUUGUCUUACUUGAGCUUGCGAAAAUCUUCCCGCAUCUUUCUCUUGUCACUGUCGGGGAAGUACUCGGCGAACAGUAGCUUGCGGAACUCCGCCCAAUCGAUCAGGGGAAGCUCCGGGGAUCGGUCCUGCUUAACCCUCUUCCACCAAGUCCUGGCCUGCUUCUCGAAGCAAUGCGCGGCCAGGUUCACCUUGUCCUUCUCCAAAGUGAAGAUGUCCUCAAAUAGAGUCUCCAUAGCCGUCAGCCAAGACUCCACCAUCGCUGGAUCCACAACCUCUCCGUCGAAAGUAGGCGGGUGAAACUUCGUGAACCUCGUGAGCGCCACGUAACCGUGCUCACCCUCCGCCUCAUCAGCCGCCACCGCGGGUGUAGGAGAACUCGAACUCGCCGGAGGAAUAUCCAUCGGUGGGGGUUGCGCCACCACCGGAACCAAUACGCCGCCCACACCCUCAGCCACAUCAGGGGCAUGAACCGAAGGCGCAGGCGGACCGCGGCCUAGAACUGCCGCCGCAGCCGCCGCCACAGCCUGCUGCUCCGGCAGCUCCUGGAUCCUAUCGAACCGCCCAGUGAGCGAUGCAACCUGCGCUCGCAGCUCCUGCACCUCAGUAGGCCCAGGUAGCCCUGGCGCCACUGGAGGCACGGCUGGCCCGGGCACCUCUCGAGGUGGUGCCGGAGCGGUCCUACGCACGUAGCGUCUCUUUGGUGCCAUAGCUCCUGAAACGCAAACAGUUGGUUAAUUACUUAACCCAACAACGUCGUCGUAAUUGUGAAACAUAACGAUUAAACAACAUCAAUCAGGCGGUAGCUUGCAAGUGUCUUAGUUCUCGACUUUCGGCAUCGUGUUGUCGGCCGCCAACACAAUCAACUCAAGCCAAAAAUUAAUACCACUUGGAUCAUCUCUAGCCAUAGCUAGAGUAACAACACCAACUCCAAACCCAAUCAAUUAGCUUCCGCCGCGUCAUAGGUUCACGUCGCACUCACGCACCUAUAACCUUAGGGUUAACCAACCUAGGGUCUCCUAGGUCAUCAUAGACUCUCUCUUUUGCUUGCUCUUAACUCGCUCUGAUACCACAACUGUCACGCCCCAACCGCACGACCCGAAAACGGUAGCUAUUUGGUCCGGUUCGAGAGCGGCGGGCGUGAGGCCGAACGGACAGAGUCUUCCCCGUCCGCCCAAGGCUAACCAACGAGAUUGUGUACAACAAGUCCCCAGGAAAAACAACUUGAUUUCAUACACAAUCGAAAAAACGAUAACACAAACAGUGUUAAAACUAUCAAGAGUAAGCGAUACUAGUAAAAGCAUACAAGUAUACAAAAGAGAGAAACUUAACUAUUUGAACCAUGAAACUAGAAGCAUUUAAAUACAACUUGCAUUAAACUUCCUUUAAACCUUCAUACAUGUUUUUCCAUCUUUUCCAUAAUGAAAAUACAUCCAAAAACUCUCCGAAAUCUCACCCUAUGCAACACCUACUCUCAAAAUAUAAAGACAUGGUGGAGCUAAUGCAAGUAGGAAGUAAGCUACCAACUGAUACCGCUAGGGCGCCAAGCCCUCGCCGCGAUCCUCCCGCUCGGUCGGGACACUCGAACUAGCGCCUACAACAACGGGUGUGAGAACUACGAAUAGUUCCCAGUGGGUUCGGCCGCCGACUCCACCGAUCUACCCACUAGGUCGAAGCAGGCAUAGAGAGAUAUAUGCAAUAUAUAUAUAAAGCUAAACCAACUAAAAGCAGGUAUGGAAAUUAAGCAAGUAAGGAAACGUAAGCAAGUAGGUAGAAUCAUGAAUAUCUAGCUAUGCCUCAAUCUGAUAUCAUGCAUGCAUGAACAAUAGAUAAAGCUGGGUAGUAAGCUAUUAUGAACAACAACAACAAGUAAGCUAAAAUGAACAACCAUAGGGAAGCUACUACAACAACAAAUAAUGAGUGUGACUCAAUAGGUUACCCAAUUUUAUGGUGAACUCGAGGUUCACAAGCAUAACUCACGUGUAAGUCUCAUAGGGAAAGUCUCACUGAACUACUCCCGAGACCGCCUGCGGACAACACACAGACCGUCCAGACAGCACACUGACUGUCACUCUAGUGACCAACCUUCGAAGUGCACAGCUUGCGGGGAGCGACCCCUCCAAGCGCAGACAGGCUAUGUGAGC